CGUCUCGAUGGACCAGGUCGGCCCCCGCGUCGUCCCCACGGUCCGGACGAUCCGCCGCGCGUUCGAGGCCCGCCGGGACGA
RNAcentral lists this transfer RNA (81 nucleotides) under Cellulomonas fimi. RNAcentral describes it as "tRNA-Asp(gtc)". The record is from RNAcentral. Lineage: Bacteria; Bacillati; Actinomycetota; Actinomycetes; Micrococcales; Cellulomonadaceae.